RNAcentral lists this long non-coding RNA (1673 nucleotides) under Saimiri boliviensis boliviensis (Bolivian squirrel monkey). RNAcentral describes it as "lncRNA (ENSSBOG00000036475.1)". Lineage: Eukaryota; Metazoa; Chordata; Mammalia; Primates; Cebidae. The record is from RNAcentral.
CCUGUCCCAGAGGUUAAAGUUGUGUGAAAUCAGUCAGCCAUAACCGUGAAGGAAGUAGCCCCAGCGAGUGUUAGUGAUAUAGCUCACCUGGCCCCAGAGGAGAUCAAGCUGAGAGAAUAUCGUCAUCAGCACAACAGCCCUGGUAUUGGUACAGGAGUAACUGACACCAACAGGCAAAUAAAUAAUGGUGGUGACCCUGAGAGAACUGCUUCUGCUGGCUGCCACUCACCUGAUGAUUGCAACGGGGAAUUAACAAAGGAGAGGGACGGCCCGAGUCUGAAACUGUGCAGGAACACGUAGGACCGGGGAAGGUAGGAUGGGAAGUCUGGGGGCCCUUAGCGUGGGUGGAGUACUGGGAGGUGGGUACAGAUGAGCAUGGUGAGGGGGUCAUAGAGGUUUGCAUGUGUGCCCAGCAAAGCUCUAGUGCCGGCUGUGCCACUGACUCAUGGGGUAGCCUCGGGCAACUCAUGUCUUCUCUCUGGCCUGCCACCUAUGACUUUUAAUUCCUGGGGUCCCUUCCAAUGCCACAGUUCUGUGGUGGUUGUGGGGUGAGGGUAGAGGGUUGAUGAGCAAAGUGGUCCUUUCUUUUCUGCAUUCAGGCCUUUCUCUACCGCCUCUGGCCAUAGUAUAAUCAAUGAGCUGCAGAGGAAGAACACAGAACUCGAAGAAAAACUUAGACUCCUACAGUCUGAAAAGUCCAGCGUCCAGCUCCAUGUGCAGGAGCUACAAAGAAAGCUGGCUAGGGCCAAGCUUCUGCUUCCACAGGUGCAGCUACAGGAGGAGAUCGAGAACCCGAAGCAGGAGCUUCACAGGCUGAAAGGAGAGCUCCAAGAACAACUGGAUGAAAAUAAUCGCUGGGAAUGCCUCUACCAGGAGCAGGAGGAGAAGAUCUGGAAGGAGGAGGAGAAGAUACAGGAGUGGGAGCAGAAAAUACGGGAGCAGGAAGAAAAGAUGCAGCAGCAGGAGGAGGAGAUGCGGGAGGAAAAAAAGAGGCUCUGGGAUGAGAAGGAGCUGCUGAGGGAGCAGGAGGAGCAGAUGGAGAAGCAGGAGGCGAUGAUGCAGGAAGAGAAGCAGCUAAGGGAGCAGAUGUGGGAGAAGGAGAGGAGGCGGAAGCAAGAGGAGCAGAUGAGAGAGCAGGAGGACAUGACGUGGCUCAAGGAGAAGAUGGGGGAGGAGGAGACGAUGUGAGAAUGGGAGAAGACUAUGCGGGAGCAGAAUUGUUGUAAAAUACGGGCUGGGUGCGGUGUCUCAUGCCUGUCAUCCCAGCACUUUGGGAGGCUGAGGCAGGCAGAUCAAGAGAUUGAGACCAUCCUGGCCAAUAUUGUGAAAUCCUGUCUCUAAAAAAGUACAAAAAUUAUCGGUGUGGUGGCGCGUGCCUGUAGUCCCAGCUACUUGGGAGGCUUACGCAGGAGAAUCAUUUGAACCAGGGAGACAGAGAUUGCAGUCAGCCAAGAUCACGUCACUGUACUCCAGCCUGGUGACAUAGUGACACUUUGUCUCAAAAAAUAAAAAUAAUAAAAUCUUUUAAAAUUUAAAACAUAUUCAGUCAAAUGCCUAGAUCUGAAGUGUACAUUUUUAUGAGUUUUGACAAAUGCAUUACUCAUGUAACUCACUUCCUUUCAAGAUACGGAAUAUUUCUAUCAUCCAGAAAGUUCUGUGCUUUAAUCCUGUCC